UCAUCGUGCAAGGAGGAGACAUGCCUGGUGGCCGACGAGACGGCGGCGGUACAUUUCCUGCUAUGGGGCACCGAGUGCGACGCCUUCGAGCCCGGAGACAUCGUGUGGCUCACAAGCGGCAUCUUCUCCUACCGUAGGGGCAACAAGCUCUUCCUACGGGCUGGUAAGCGAGGACGCGCUGAGAAGGUGGGUGAGUUCACCAUAACGUUCGUUGAGACACCCAACAUGAGCGAGGUGAGGUGGGGGCCCGAUCCAGGCGACCCGGGGAAGAUGGUGCAGGAGGCCGUCCUGUCACCCUACUCCCAGGUCUUCGAGCCGCUGCACUGA
RNAcentral lists this ribosomal RNA (327 nucleotides) under Triticum aestivum (bread wheat). RNAcentral's name for it is "partial small subunit ribosomal RNA". Lineage: Eukaryota; Viridiplantae; Streptophyta; Magnoliopsida; Poales; Poaceae. The record is from RNAcentral.